CCUACGGGAGGCAGCAGUGAGGAAUAUUGGUCAAUGGACGUAAGGCUGAACCAGCCAAGCAGCGUGAGGGAAGACUGCUCUAUGGGUUGUAAACCUCUUUUAUGCGGGGAUAAAGGCGUCCACGCGUGGAUGUUUGCAGGUACCGCAUGAAUAAGGACCGGCUAAUUCCGUGCCAGCAGCCGUGGUAAUACGGAAGAUCCGGGCGUUAUCCGGAUUUAUUGGGUUUAAAGGGAGCGUAGGCCGGUCUUUAAGCGUGCGGUGAAAUUUUGUGGCUCAACUAUGGGAGUGCGGCGCGAACUGGUGGCCUUGAGUGUGCGGAAGGCAGGCGGAAUGCAUGGUGUAGCGGUGAAAUGCUUAGAGAUCACAAAGAACACCGAUUGCGAAGGCAGCUUGCCGCGGCAUUACUGACGCUGAAGCUCGAAAGCGCGGGUAUCGAACAGGAUUAGAUACCCUUGUAGUC
Molecule: ribosomal RNA, 460 nt
Filed under: uncultured bacterium
Lineage: Bacteria
Description: partial 16S ribosomal RNA
Rfam family: Bacterial small subunit ribosomal RNA
Source: RNAcentral